RNAcentral lists this transfer RNA (85 nucleotides) under Felis catus (domestic cat). It matches the Rfam family "tRNA". Rfam says of the family: Transfer RNA (tRNA) molecules are approximately 80 nucleotides in length. Their secondary structure includes four short double-helical elements and three loops (D, anti-codon, and T loops). Further hydrogen bonds mediate the characteristic L-shaped molecular structure. tRNAs have two regions of fundamental functional importance: the anti-codon, which is responsible for specific mRNA codon recognition, and the 3' end, to which the tRNAs corresponding amino acid is attached (by aminoacyl-tRNA synthetases). tRNAs cope with the degeneracy of the genetic code in two manners: having more than one tRNA (with a specific anti-codon) for a particular amino acid; and 'wobble' base-pairing, i.e. permitting non-standard base-pairing at the 3rd anti-codon position. The record is from Rfam by way of RNAcentral. Lineage: Eukaryota; Metazoa; Chordata; Mammalia; Carnivora; Felidae.
GCCUGGGUGGCUCAGUCGGUUGAGCAUCCGACUUCGGCUCAGGUCAUGAUCUCUCAGUUGGCGGGUUAAAGCCCCGCAUCGGGCU